CGCAGCGGCCAGGCGUUCCUCCAGAACCUCCUCCCACAGGAGCUUGCUACAUGUGCUGGAAAUCUGGCCACUGGGCCAAGGAAUGCCGGCAGCCCGGGAUUCCUCCUAAGCCGCGUCCCAUCUGUGUGGGACCCCACUGAAAAUCGGACUGUUCAACUCACCUGGCAGCCACUCCCAGAGCCCCUGGAACUCUGGCCCAAGGCUCUCUGACUGACUCCUUCCCAGAUCUUCUCGGCUUAGCGGCUGAAGACUGACACUGCCCGAUCGCCUCGAAAGCCCUGUAGACCAUCACAGACGCUGAGCUUCGAGUAACUCUCACAGUGGAAGGCGGCAGGAAUGUCAGGCCUCUGAGCCCAAGCCAAGCCAUCGCAUCCCCUGUGACUUGCACGUAUACAUCCAGAUGGCCUGAAGUAACUGAAGAUCCACAAAAGAAGUAAAAAUAGCCUUAACUGAUGACAUUCCACCAUUGUGAUUUGUUCCUGCCCCACCUAACUGAUCAAUGUACUUUGUAAUCUCCCCCACCCUUAAGCAGGUUGUUUGUAAUUCUCCCCACCCUUGAGAAUGUACUGUGUGAGAUCCACCCCUGCCCGCAAAACAUUGCUCUUAACUUCACCGCCUAUCCCAAAACCUAUAAGAACUAAUGAUAAUCCAGC
RNAcentral lists this long non-coding RNA (653 nucleotides) under Homo sapiens (human). RNAcentral describes it as "HSALNT0386732". The record is from RNAcentral. Lineage: Eukaryota; Metazoa; Chordata; Mammalia; Primates; Hominidae.